UGGGGAAUAUUGCACAAUGGGGCGCAAGCCUGAUGCAGCCAUGCCGCGUGUGUGAAGAAGGGCCUUCGGGUUGUAAAGUCACGUUUCAGCGAGGAGGAAGGUGGUGAGCUUAAUACGCUCAUCAAUUGACGUUACUCGCAGAAGAAGCACCGGCUAACGUCCGUGCCAGCAGCCGCGGUAAUACGGAGGGUGCAAGCGUUAAUCGGAAUUACUGGGCCGUAAAGCGCACGCAGGCGGUUUGUUAAGUCAGAUGUGAAAUCCCCGGGCUCAACCUGGGAACUGCAUUUGAAACUGGCAAGCUAGAGUCUCGUAGAGGGGGGUAGAAUUCCAGGUGUAGCGGUGAAAUGCGUAGAGAUCUGGAGGAAUACCGGUGGCGAAGGCGGCCCCCUGGANGAAGACUGACGCUCAGGUGCG
RNAcentral lists this ribosomal RNA (414 nucleotides) under uncultured bacterium. RNAcentral describes it as "partial 16S ribosomal RNA". It matches the Rfam family "Bacterial small subunit ribosomal RNA", at positions 355 to 755 of the family's 1533-position model. The record is from RNAcentral.